This 403-nucleotide ribosomal RNA is filed under the name uncultured bacterium. Its description in RNAcentral is "partial 16S ribosomal RNA". It matches the Rfam family "Bacterial small subunit ribosomal RNA", at positions 28 to 526 of the family's 1533-position model. The record is from RNAcentral.
GACGAACGCUGGCGGCGUGCCUAAUACAUGCAAGUCGAACGCAGUGGGGACGGUUGAGUAACACGUGGGUAAUCUCCCCUCAUUGGGGAUAACACUUGGAAACAGGUGCUAAACCGAUACUGAUGUAUGGACCCGCGGUGCAUUAGCUAGUUGGUGAGGUAACGGCUCACCAAGGCCACGAUGCUUAGCCGACCUGAGAGGGUGAUCGGCCACACGGGGACUGAGACACGGCCCAGACUCCUACGGGAGGCAGCAGUAGGGAAUCUUCGGCAAUGGACGAAAGUCUGACCGAGCAACGCCGCGUGAGUGAAGAAGGUUUUCGGAUCGUAAAACUCUGUUGUUAGAGAAGCGGUAGCUAAGGAGAAAGCCACGGCUAACUACGUGCCAGCAGCCGCGGUAAUAG